Molecule: transfer RNA, 71 nt
Filed under: Camelus ferus (Wild Bactrian camel)
Lineage: Eukaryota; Metazoa; Chordata; Mammalia; Artiodactyla; Camelidae
Rfam family: tRNA
About the family: Transfer RNA (tRNA) molecules are approximately 80 nucleotides in length. Their secondary structure includes four short double-helical elements and three loops (D, anti-codon, and T loops). Further hydrogen bonds mediate the characteristic L-shaped molecular structure. tRNAs have two regions of fundamental functional importance: the anti-codon, which is responsible for specific mRNA codon recognition, and the 3' end, to which the tRNAs corresponding amino acid is attached (by aminoacyl-tRNA synthetases). tRNAs cope with the degeneracy of the genetic code in two manners: having more than one tRNA (with a specific anti-codon) for a particular amino acid; and 'wobble' base-pairing, i.e. permitting non-standard base-pairing at the 3rd anti-codon position.
Source: Rfam by way of RNAcentral
GAGGGUAUAGCUCAGUGGUAGAGCAUGUGCUUUGCAUGCAAAAGGUCCUGGGUUCAAUCCGCAGGUCCUCC